UACAGAGGUGGCAAGCGUUGUUCGGAAUUACUGGGCGUAAAGGGCGCGUAGGCGGUUUUGUAAGUCAGACGUGAAAUCCCCAGGCUUAACUUGGGAACUGCGUCUGAUACUGCAAAACUUGAGUGCGGGAGAGGGAUGUGGAAUUCCAGGUGUAGCGGUGAAAUGCGUAGAUAUCUGGAGGAAUACCGGUGGCGAAGGCGGCAUCCUGGACCAUUACUGACGCUGAGGCGCGAAAGCUAGGGGAGCAAACGGG
RNAcentral lists this ribosomal RNA (253 nucleotides) under uncultured bacterium. Its description in RNAcentral is "partial 16S ribosomal RNA". It matches the Rfam family "Bacterial small subunit ribosomal RNA", at positions 524 to 776 of the family's 1533-position model. The record is from RNAcentral.